ACGGAGAGUUUGAUCCUGGCUCAGAGCGAACGCUGGCGGCGUGGUUAAGGCAUGCAAGUCGANNGCGAUCCCCGCAAGGGGAUAGCGGCUAACGGGUGCGUAACGCGUGGGGAACUUGUCCUGGAGACAGGGAUAGCACUGCGAAAGCGGUGGUAAUACCUGAUAAGCCCAGAGCCUCGCAUGGGGUGACGGGCAAAGAUGGCCUCGACCGCAAGGUUGCUAUCGCUUCAGGAGGGCCCCGCGUCCCAUCAGCUAGUUGGUAGGGUCACGGCCUACCAAGGCGUGGACGGGUAGCUGGCCUGAGAGGGUGGUCAGCCACACUGGGACUGAGA
This 332-nucleotide ribosomal RNA is filed under the name Candidatus Omnitrophota bacterium. Its description in RNAcentral is "bacterial SSU rRNA". It matches the Rfam family "Bacterial small subunit ribosomal RNA", at positions 1 to 324 of the family's 1533-position model. The record is from RNAcentral. Lineage: Bacteria; Pseudomonadati; Candidatus Omnitrophota.